RNAcentral lists this transfer RNA (72 nucleotides) under Ictidomys tridecemlineatus (thirteen-lined ground squirrel). RNAcentral describes it as "Spermophilus tridecemlineatus (thirteen-lined ground squirrel) tRNA". It matches the Rfam family "tRNA". Rfam says of the family: Transfer RNA (tRNA) molecules are approximately 80 nucleotides in length. Their secondary structure includes four short double-helical elements and three loops (D, anti-codon, and T loops). Further hydrogen bonds mediate the characteristic L-shaped molecular structure. tRNAs have two regions of fundamental functional importance: the anti-codon, which is responsible for specific mRNA codon recognition, and the 3' end, to which the tRNAs corresponding amino acid is attached (by aminoacyl-tRNA synthetases). tRNAs cope with the degeneracy of the genetic code in two manners: having more than one tRNA (with a specific anti-codon) for a particular amino acid; and 'wobble' base-pairing, i.e. permitting non-standard base-pairing at the 3rd anti-codon position. Lineage: Eukaryota; Metazoa; Chordata; Mammalia; Rodentia; Sciuridae. The record is from Rfam by way of RNAcentral.
GGGGUUGCAGCUCAGUGGUAGAGCAUUUGCCUAGCAUGCAUGAGGCACUGGGUUCAAUUCUCAGCAUCACAU